UUAAACCAUAUAUUCAUAGCUCUAGAACAAAAAAAAACAUAUUAUUUAACCACAAAGGUGUAAAUCACUGUUCGAGGAGAAUCAACUAAAACGUUGAACACCAAUAAGAGCAUCUUCAAUAGAAGUAUUAAGAGAAGUAUUUUUUUUUUUUUUUGCUAAAACUAAGAGAAGUAUCUUUCAUUUAAAAUAAAUACAAAAAUUAGAAGAAAAAAAUGUAGAAAAGUUAUCAAAUGAGGAUUUAUAAGAGCAUCAUUAACCCACAAACCCAACGGGGUCUCUUAAUGAGUAUUUUAGUAAUUAAAUGUAAUUAAAAACUCUAGUUAAAAGACGCAUUGAUUUUUCACUCCAAUGCUAGUUUCUUAUUUAGGGAUUCUUAAAAAAAAAUUUACACAUUGCAAAUCAAA
Molecule: long non-coding RNA, 404 nt
Filed under: Brassica napus (rape)
Lineage: Eukaryota; Viridiplantae; Streptophyta; Magnoliopsida; Brassicales; Brassicaceae
Description: long non-coding RNA (BNAP_LNC024246)
Source: RNAcentral